UGGGGAAUAUUGCACAAUGGGCGCAAGCCUGAUGCAGCCAUGCCGCGUGUAUGAAGAAGGCCUUCGGGUUGUAAAGUACUUUCAGCGAGGAGGAAGGCGGUAAGGUUAAUAACCUUAUCGAUUGACGUUACUCGCAGAAGAAGCACCGGCUAACUCCGUGCCAGCAGCCGCGGUAAUACGGAGGGUGCAAGCGUUAAUCGGAAUUACUGGGCGUAAAGCGGACGCAGGCGGUCUGUCAAGUCGGAUGUGAAAUCCCCGGGCUCAACCUGGGAACUGCAUUCGAAACUGGCAGGCUAGAGUCUUGUAGAGGGGGGUAGAAUUCCAGGUGUAGCGGUGAAAUGCGUAGAGAUCUGGAGGAAUACCGGUGGCGAAGGCGGCCCCCUGGACAAAGACUGACGCUCAGGUGCGAAAGCGUGGGGAGCAAACA
This 427-nucleotide ribosomal RNA is filed under the name uncultured bacterium. RNAcentral describes it as "partial 16S ribosomal RNA". It matches the Rfam family "Bacterial small subunit ribosomal RNA", at positions 355 to 774 of the family's 1533-position model. The record is from RNAcentral.